AGAGUUUGAUCCUGGCUCAGGAUGAACGCUGGCGGUAUGCUUAACACAUGCAAGUCGAACGGUGUCUUCGGACAUAGUGGCGGACGGGUGAGUAACGCGUGAUAAUCUAUCUUCAGGUCUGGGACAACCACUGGAAACGGUGGCUAAUACCGGAUGUGCCGGAAGGUGAAAGGCUUGCUGCCUGAAAAUGAUCUCGCGUCCGAUUAGCUAGUAGGUGGGGUAAGAGCCUACCUAGGCGACGAUCGGUAGCUGGUCUGAGAGGAUGACCAGCCACACUGGGACUGAGACACGGCCCAGACUCCUACGGGAGGCAGCAGUGGGGAAUUUUCCGCAAUGGGCGAAAGCCUGACGGAGCAAUACCGCGUGAGGGAGGAAGGCUCUUGGGUUGUAAACCUCUUUUCUCAGGGAAGAACACAAUGACGGUACCUGAGGAAUCAGCAUCGGCUAACUCCGUGCCAGCAGCCGCGGUAAUACGGAGGAUGCAAGCGUUAUCCGGAAUGAUUGGGCGUAAAGCGUCCGCAGGUGGCUGUGUAAGUCUGCUGUCAAAGAGCAAAGCUCAACUUUGUAAAGGCAGUGGAAACUACACGGCUAGAGUGCGUUCGGGGCAGAGGGAAUUCCUGGUGUAGCGGUGAAAUGCGUAGAGAUCAGGAAGAACACCGGUGGCGAAGGCGCUCUGCUAGGCCGCAACUGACACUGAGGGACGAAAGCUAGGGGAGCGAAUAGGAUUAGAUACCCCAGUAGUCCUAGCUGUAAACGAUGG
Molecule: ribosomal RNA, 760 nt
Filed under: uncultured bacterium
Lineage: Bacteria
Description: bacterial SSU rRNA
Rfam family: Bacterial small subunit ribosomal RNA
Source: RNAcentral